GACAGAGGCCCCGAGCGUUAGGCGGAAUCACUGGGCUUAAAGCGUGUGUAGGCGGAUCUGUAAGUACCUUGUGAAAUCCCACGGCUCAACCGUGGAACUGCUGGGUAUACUGCGGAUCUUGAGCCACCUAGGGGCGAGCGGAACAAGUGGUGGAGCGGUGAAAUGCGUAGAUAUCACUUGGAACGCCAAUGGUGAAAACAGCUCGCUGGGGGUGUGCUGACGCUGAGACACGAAAGCCAGGGGAGCAAACGGG
Molecule: ribosomal RNA, 253 nt
Filed under: uncultured bacterium
Lineage: Bacteria
Description: partial 16S ribosomal RNA
Rfam family: Bacterial small subunit ribosomal RNA
Source: RNAcentral